ACUGAGACACGGCCCAGACUCCUACGGGAGGCAGCAGUAGGGAAUCUUCCGCAAUGGACGAAAGUCUGACGGAGCAACGCCGCGUGAACGAAGAAGGCCUUCGGGUCGUAAAGUUCUGUUGUUAGGGAAGAACAAGUACCAGAGUAACUGCUGGUACCUUGACGGUACCUAACCAGAAAGCCACGGCUAACUACGUGCCAGCAGCCGCGGUAAUACGUAGGUGGCAAGCGUUGUCCGGAAUUAUUGGGCGUAAAGCGCGCGCAGGUGGUUCCUUAAGUCUGAUGUGAAAGCCCACGGCUCAACCGUGGAGGGUCAUUGGAAACUGGGGAACUUGAGUGCAGAAGAGGAAAGUGGAAUUCCAAGUGUAGCGGUGAAAUGCGUAGAGAUUUGGAGGAACACCAGUGGCGAAGGCGACUUUCUGGUCUGUAACUGACACUGAGGCGCGAAAGCGUGGGGAGCAAACAGGAUUAGAUACCCUGGUAGUCCACGCCGUAAACGAUGAGUGCUAAGUGUUAGAGGGUUUCCGCCCUUAGUGCUGCAGCUAACGCAUUAAGCACUCCGCCUGGGGAGUACGGCCGCAAGGCUGAAACUCAAAGGAA
RNAcentral lists this ribosomal RNA (599 nucleotides) under bacterium enrichment culture clone F56x_A4_T3-_A04. Its description in RNAcentral is "bacterial SSU rRNA". It matches the Rfam family "Bacterial small subunit ribosomal RNA", at positions 318 to 909 of the family's 1533-position model. The record is from RNAcentral.